RNAcentral lists this RNase MRP RNA (224 nucleotides) under Vitis vinifera (wine grape). Its description in RNAcentral is "RNase MRP". It matches the Rfam family "RNase MRP". From Rfam's summary of the family: RNase MRP is an enzymatically active ribonucleoprotein with two distinct roles in eukaryotes. In mitochondria it plays a direct role in the initiation of mitochondrial DNA replication. The record is from Rfam by way of RNAcentral. Lineage: Eukaryota; Viridiplantae; Streptophyta; Magnoliopsida; Vitales; Vitaceae.
CAAGCGCGAGAGCGGAGUGAGCGGGCCGCCAACACAUGGCCCAGGAAAGUCCCCGGGCUAGCAGCCGCAGAGAUGCGGGCUUGGAAACGAGUUGUCUUCGACGGAAGCCCAUUCGGCUGAGACAUGUGUGGAGCUUCGGGCUUUCGCCGAAGCGUAGUGGCCGAUAUUACAGUUAUUCACUUGGUCCAUCGGAUCAACUGAACGGGGCUUACGCUCUCGCGCGU